Molecule: ribosomal RNA, 255 nt
Filed under: Clostridioides difficile
Lineage: Bacteria; Bacillati; Bacillota; Clostridia; Peptostreptococcales; Peptostreptococcaceae
Description: partial 23S ribosomal RNA
Rfam family: Bacterial large subunit ribosomal RNA
Source: RNAcentral
GGGAGUGAAAUAGAACCUGAAACCCUGCACUUACAAGCUGUGGAAGCACAUUUCUUGUGUGACCGCGUACUUUUUGUAGAACGGGCCAACGAGUUACGUUAAGUAGCAAGGUUAAGCACUUAAGGUGUGGAGCCGUAGCGAAAGCGAGUUUUAACUGAGCGUUCAGUUACUUGACGUAGACCCGAAACCGGGCGACCUACCCAUGAGCAGGAUGAAGCGAAAGUAAAAUUGCGUGGAGGUCCGAACCCACGAGCG